GAAUCCCCUGAAUGAUGUAGGCUAUGGGGCCACAUAAGACUUUGUCCAUCCAGGGUUACGAUGAAUGUCAAAUAUAAACUAAAGAACCAACAUUUUUCACACAACUCCAGGUUGUUACUACAAGUGUCAUCAAGGGAUAACUACUACAAGUAGAAGCACCAUUUUUGGAUGGAAAAAACCCUUCAGGAAAGUAUAUGUAUCACAUGUAACAUGUAGUGUAACAAAGUAUGAACAGUAAGGUUUUUACAUACAGUAGUACAUAUUACAUACGUACAUAACUUUUUUUUACAGGAAUUUCCAACCAAGUUUGAUUAUGUACAUAUGUAGUACAUGUUAUAAACCACUGUACGUAUGGUUACUGUAUGUAACUUACUAAACAUACAUAACAUGACUUAACUUUGAUACUUUUUUGGUACAUUCCAGAAAACCAGGACCCCCUCCAUGAUGCAGGCUAUGGGGCCACAUAAAACUUUGUCCAGGGUUACUACAUAACAUAGCACGACAACUGUAAACUAUGUACUACUGUACUAAAGAACCCCCUGAAUGAUGUAGGCUAUGGGGCCACAUAAGACUUUGUCCAUCCAGGGUUACGAUGAAUGUCAAAUAUAAACUAAAGAACCCCCUGAAUGAUGUAGGCUAUGGGGCCACAUAAGACUUUGUCCAUCCAGGGUUACAUAGCAGGACAACUUUAAACUAAAAAGCUACCAGACUGGGAUUUUAGUGUACUCCAGGAUCUAACAAAGUGUGCAAUGCAUGUGUAUACGUAUAGUGACAGUGUUUAGUGUAUACCCUAAGGAUUAAGUGUAGUGUACAUUGUGCUUUUUAGUGUCACAAGAGUUUAAUAAAGAAUUAUACCUUCAAGAACCAUCCUUUGCCAUUGGAAUAACCACACUACACAUCAUGCAAUCUACUUGCAUGUCACACAGGUAAGGUCUCUAACUUUUUCUUAGUUUAAGGCAUAUUUCCAAGUGUCGUUCCGGCUUACGACGAUUUUCGGCUUACGACGCGCCUCAAGAACGGAACCCCCGUCGUAACCCGGGGACUGCC
Macrobrachium nipponense is the source of this 1047-nucleotide long non-coding RNA. RefSeq lists it as uncharacterized. Lineage: Eukaryota; Metazoa; Arthropoda; Malacostraca; Decapoda; Palaemonidae. The transcript has 5 exons. The record is from RefSeq and is a predicted model, not a curated record.